CCGAAACUUGGUCUCCCCAUGUCGUUCUUUCUCUCACCUUCUGGCUGAAUUAUUCAGCCUCUUUUCUCCACUGAAUUUCCUCACUGAGCUGUCUUUAUUCUAUUACUCUUUAUAUCCUUAAUUAACGUUUAAUUAAGCAGUUGUUUCCUGAUCCUCGCCGACGCCGUCCCCGCUUCGAAUUCCCUGGAUCCACCGGGGCUGGACCCCGGCACUGGACUGGACCAUGUGAUUCUCAGGCCGUAUCCAGAUAUAUAUGUUCCCAGGGCGUCACUCUGCCCUCUGCCAUCAUCCGUCUUGGGAACCAGAGUUGGACGUCAAUCCCCAUAAGCCACAGGGGGCGGUCUGUGUCUGGGCUGGUCUUUCCACUGGACGGAGCCGAGGGCAGCCUAGCUGUGGACCUUUUCCGGGAGAUCAGUCCCUACUCACCCACUCUCCGCCCCUUCCCAAACCACAAACAUGAGGCAGACAGAGCGAAGAGGAACAGCUAGGAAAAUAGCGCAAAGCUCUCCCACGGGGGCCGGCACGUGAGGGCACAACGUCUUCAGGUUCUGCAAAGCUCCCGUAAUCCACCUUAACGCCUAGAGCAAGAUCCAUGCCCUGUGACUAAUUCCGGAGGUCAAAGUCCUGUGAGUCUCACUGGCGAAGAUCAAGGUGUUAACAGGACUGCAUUCCUUGUGAAGCCUUCAGGGAGAGUGCGUCUCCUCAACCUUAUUUACCUUCUGGAGAGUGAAACCAUCUUCUUGGGACAUUUUUACUGAGAAUUGAGGACUGAUACUUACUUGAGACAACUGUUUCAGAGAAUCCCAGAGACCCCAAAGUCCUGCAGAUCUGGGCUGUGUUUGGAUUUGCCGUGAAUUUCUCAGCUAC
Bos taurus (domestic cattle) is the source of this 867-nucleotide long non-coding RNA. NCBI's taxonomy places the organism in Eukaryota, Metazoa, Chordata, Mammalia, Artiodactyla, Bovidae. The record is from Ensembl.